Molecule: ribosomal RNA, 517 nt
Filed under: uncultured bacterium
Lineage: Bacteria
Description: bacterial SSU rRNA
Rfam family: Bacterial small subunit ribosomal RNA
Source: RNAcentral
AGAACUUAGCAGAGAUGCUUUGGUGCCUUCGGGAACUCUGAGACAGGUGCUGCAUGGCUGUCGUCAGCUCGUGUUGUGAAAUGUUGGGUUAAGUCCCGCAACGAGCGCAACCCUUAUCCUUUGUUGCCAGCGGUCCGGUCGGGAACUCAAAGGAGGCUGCCAGUGAUAAACUGGAGGAAGGUGGGGAUGACGUCAAGUCAUCAUGGCCCUUACGAGUAGGGCUACACACGUGCUACAAUGGCGCAUACAAAGAGAAGCGACCUCGCGAGAGCAAGCGGACCUCAUAAAGUGCGUCGUAGUCCGGAUUGGAGUCUGCAACUCGACUCCAUGAAGUCGGAAUCGCUAGUAAUCGUGGAUCAGAAUGCCACGGUGAAUACGUUCCCGGGCCUUGUACACACCGCCCGUCACACCAUGGGAGUGGGUUGCAAAAGAAGUAGGUAGCUUAACCUUCGGGAGGGCGCUUACCACUUUGUGAUUCAUGACUGGGGUGAAGUCGUAACAAGGUAAGCGUAGUGCU